CAAAGCAUGCUGCAAUGCAAAUUAAAUUUUUUUUUUCUUUCUCUUUUUGGUAAGCUGGCAGAGCUAAGUGUAAAUGAUGGUAUGUGAGUCUAUGGUGCUCUGUCUGGGUCAUCCCAUGCAUGACUGCCAGCCUGGUAUAGAGAUAGAUAGACAGUCAAGUAAGGAAAGUGUUUGGCCGUCUCACUGCCAUGCACUGUCUUUGUAUUCUAACAGAGAACUUUUAAUGGUUUAUGCAGGUGAUGUUGUGACUUAAUUUCAACAGUUGGUUAUACAAUAACAAAGAUCAGCUUCAGGUUUCCUUAAUAUCCUCUGGUAACAUAAAAGUGACAAGCCCAUCACUGGAGGCCGUAGCUGUAACCAUCUUGCAGGGCAGGUUCAUGUUGGUGUUAGUCAGCCAUUGUCACUAAGUCAGAAUUAGGGAUAAAAUAACUUGGGCUCCUAAAUCAAAGCAUCCAUAGCUAAUAUAUACAAUAUGACAUUUGGCAAACUAAAUUAUUCAUACAACAUACAUGGAUUUGGGAUGUUGAUAUUUGUACAAUAAAAAAAUACAGCAUCACUGAAAACACAUCAAAUUUCAAGUGCUUUGAUAGAAGAAUGUUAGCAAGUGAUGGAUGGUUCUGCCUUCUUCCUGCAUGUAUUUGCCAACUCCAUGUCUCCUUUAACUGCUAUGCUCUAGUAAAAAUACAAAAAAAAAAAAAAAAAGAGAACAAGGGGCAAAUUUUUGCCUUUUGAAAGCUACAUAAUUAUUUAAAAGACUGAGAGAGAAACAGUCUUAAUGAAGUGAAAGUGACCAUGGGAAAAAUUACCUAACAGUGAAAGAAUUCCUUUAGAGUCCUUUCCUGCUCUUAUUAUUUGUCUUCUUCUUCCAGACAUUCACACAACACUAAAUGUUAACAGGAAGUGGGGGAGAAAUGUCCCCCACCCUGGAUCCCCAACAGACUUGGGUACCUGUGGGAGUGUGGGGGUUUCAGUAGAGGCCAAAAGAACUGUUGCCCAGCCUAUUAACAGCCCUCCUACCAUAGUCAACCUGUACUGGAUGCAUCAGCAACUGACGUGUCUGAUUGUUACGAUGGUGAUGGGUGACUUGUACCAUUUCUAAAGAAAGCAUGUCAAUACAUGUGAAAUACAUGAUCAUCACUUCUGAUGCAGCACUCACCUGUGGGGAUCCAUGCAGGGAAGGCUGUGGCAGAAAUGUUGCCUAGAUGCUCUUGCCUCUCUACAGGUAACUUUCCUUCAUCCAUUACAUUUUCUUUUUUUCCUCUUGCUUCUCUACAGGUAACUUUCCUUCAUCCAUUACAUUUUCUUUUUUUCCAUCACUAAAAGAGGUCUUCCUCUUACAUUACCACUAAAUAUUUAAACAGUCUGUCAUCAUACAUUCACAUUCUCACACUAGGCUUUUACUAUCUCAAGAUACUCCAUAUCCACUUUUAUAUCUUCAAAAUUUAAUAAAACCCUCCCUCUUCCAUUCCCAUCACAUAAUUCUUUACUCUUAUGUAUGAAAAGUUACCACGAGGUGAAUGUUUAGACAGGUGUUCCAGUGGUCCAGGUGUGCAAUGAGACGCCUCAAAACAUGUGCAAUAAUCUCACCUGAGCUUUAGUAAGAAACACAACAUUCAAACAUCACAUGAUAACUACCCAAAUGACAUGAAUAACUCUAUUAAACUACUGAACUACUAAAGUUAUGGCUACUAAACUAGCAAUAACAUAACAUGAGCCCAUGAUCUUUGAACUGUUCUCAGGCUUUAGUUGAGACUCAUAAUUAACCUCAAACAUUCCUAAGGUUACUUGCAUCCAGCAGUGUAGUAUAUCAAUGGUAAGAUUUUCUGAGGCUACUUUAUCCUAAACUGUCACCUGAAAUGACCACCAGCAAAGGAAGGCUUUCACUGAUAUGAUCAUUAACUCCACAAUUUUUUGAUAGCACAAGAAAGUAAUUCAACCAUAUCCUUCUAUCUAUCUGUUUACCUACUUGGCUGGCAAUCUCACAUAAGGUGGCCUAGACAAGCACCACACACACACACACACACACACACACACACACACACACACACACACACACACACACACACA
Scylla paramamosain (green mud crab) is the source of this 2067-nucleotide long non-coding RNA. RefSeq lists it as uncharacterized. The transcript is spliced from 3 exons. Lineage: Eukaryota; Metazoa; Arthropoda; Malacostraca; Decapoda; Portunidae. The record is from RefSeq and is a predicted model, not a curated record.